RNAcentral lists this ribosomal RNA (433 nucleotides) under uncultured bacterium. Its description in RNAcentral is "partial 16S ribosomal RNA". It matches the Rfam family "Bacterial small subunit ribosomal RNA", at positions 29 to 507 of the family's 1533-position model. The record is from RNAcentral.
AACGAACGCUGGCGGCAUGCCUAACACAUGCAAGUCGAACGAACCCUUCGGGGUUAGUGGCGCACGGGUGCGUAACGCGUGGGAAUCUGCCCUUUGCUUCGGAAUAACUCCGGGAAACUUGUGCUAAUACCGGAUGAUGUCUUCGGACCAAAGAUUUAUCGGCAAGGGAUGAGCCCGCGUAGGAUUAGGUAGUUGGUAGGGUAAAGGCCUACCAAGCCGACGAUCCUUAGCUGGUCUGAGAGGAUGAUCAGCCACACUGGGACUGAGACACGGCCCAGACUCCUACGGGAGGCAGCAGUGGGGAAUAUUGGACAAUGGGCGCAAGCCUGAUCCAGCAAUGCCGCGUGAGUGAUGAAGGCCCUCGGGUCGUAAAGCUCUUUUACCAGGGAUGAUAAUGACAGUACCUGGAGAAUAAGCUCCGGCUAACUCCGUG